RNAcentral lists this non-coding RNA (77 nucleotides) under Schistocephalus solidus. RNAcentral's name for it is "Eukaryotic large subunit ribosomal RNA". It matches the Rfam family "Eukaryotic large subunit ribosomal RNA", at positions 1235 to 1311 of the family's 3401-position model. The record is from Rfam by way of RNAcentral. Lineage: Eukaryota; Metazoa; Platyhelminthes; Cestoda; Diphyllobothriidea; Diphyllobothriidae.
AGACAGCAGGACGGUGGCCGUGGAAGUCGGCAUCCGCUAAGGAGUGUGUAACAACUCACCUGCCGAAUUGACCAGCC